Molecule: ribosomal RNA, 253 nt
Filed under: uncultured bacterium
Lineage: Bacteria
Description: partial 16S ribosomal RNA
Rfam family: Bacterial small subunit ribosomal RNA
Source: RNAcentral
UACGAAAGGGGCUAGCGUUGUUCGGAAUUACUGGGCGUAAAGCGCACGUAGGCGGCCAUGUAAGAUGGGGGUGAAAUCCCGGGGCUCAACUCCGGAACUGCCUUCAUGACUGCAUGGCUCGAGGAUGCGAGAGGUUGGCGGAAUUCCGAGUGUAGAGGUGAAAUUCGUAGAUAUUCGGAAGAACACCAGUGGCGAAGGCGGCCAACUGGCGCAUUUCUGACGCUGAGGUGCGAAAGCGUGGGGAGCAAACAGG